GCCUCAGUAGUGUAAUGGAAUGAGCAUAGCAGACCUGGUAUCUGUAAGCGUGGGUUCGAGUCCUGCCUGAGGUU
Molecule: transfer RNA, 74 nt
Filed under: Dictyocaulus viviparus (bovine lungworm)
Lineage: Eukaryota; Metazoa; Nematoda; Chromadorea; Rhabditida; Metastrongylidae
Rfam family: tRNA
About the family: Transfer RNA (tRNA) molecules are approximately 80 nucleotides in length. Their secondary structure includes four short double-helical elements and three loops (D, anti-codon, and T loops). Further hydrogen bonds mediate the characteristic L-shaped molecular structure. tRNAs have two regions of fundamental functional importance: the anti-codon, which is responsible for specific mRNA codon recognition, and the 3' end, to which the tRNAs corresponding amino acid is attached (by aminoacyl-tRNA synthetases). tRNAs cope with the degeneracy of the genetic code in two manners: having more than one tRNA (with a specific anti-codon) for a particular amino acid; and 'wobble' base-pairing, i.e. permitting non-standard base-pairing at the 3rd anti-codon position.
Source: Rfam by way of RNAcentral